RNAcentral lists this microRNA precursor (77 nucleotides) under Dipodomys ordii (Ord's kangaroo rat). Its description in RNAcentral is "mir-628 microRNA precursor family". It matches the Rfam family "mir-628 microRNA precursor family". The record is from Rfam by way of RNAcentral. Lineage: Eukaryota; Metazoa; Chordata; Mammalia; Rodentia; Heteromyidae.
CACUUCCUCAUGCUGACAUAUUUACUAGAGGGUAAAAUUAAAAACCUUCUAGUAAGAGUGGCAGUCGAAGGGAAGGG